GGGGCACCUACUUCCCAACAUAUAUAUACAUAUAUAGGGAAUAGGGUGCCAUUUGGGAUGCCAUCUUUGUGUGUGUGUCUGUGUGUGAGUCAGGAUGUGUUUUGUGUCAAUUAAUUGAUGGAAAUGUUUCCCUCAGAAAGAAAGAUGGAUCGUAAUGAUGAGAGAAUCAAAAGAGCUUUAAGACGCCGCCCUUAUGUGUUGAAACCAGUGAGGGUGAACACCCCUGAUUCCGUGUUGUGGCCAACCGGCAUGGUGCACAGAAGGCCAAAGCCUUCUGGAAGGGUGACUCGGCUGAUAGAGAGAAAAUAUGAUGACGUGAUCUCAUCCUCCAGUUCUGAUGACUUUUCCA
This is a long non-coding RNA of Oncorhynchus nerka (sockeye salmon), 349 nucleotides long. RefSeq lists it as uncharacterized. NCBI's taxonomy places the organism in Eukaryota, Metazoa, Chordata, Actinopteri, Salmoniformes, Salmonidae. The record is from RefSeq and is a predicted model, not a curated record. The transcript is spliced from 3 exons.